This 253-nucleotide ribosomal RNA is filed under the name uncultured bacterium. RNAcentral's name for it is "partial 16S ribosomal RNA". It matches the Rfam family "Bacterial small subunit ribosomal RNA", at positions 524 to 776 of the family's 1533-position model. The record is from RNAcentral.
UACGUAGGGGGCAAGCGUUGUCCGGAUUUAUUGGGCGUAAAGAGCGUGUAGGCGGCUAUACAGGUCCGCUGUGAAAACUCGAGGCUCAACCUCGAGACGUCGGUGGAAACCGUAUGGCUAGAGUUCGGAAGAGGAGAGUGGAAUUCCUGGUGUAGCGGUGAAAUGCGCAGAUAUCAGGAAGAACACCCGUGGCGAAGGCGGCUCUCUGGGACGGUACUGACGCUGAGACGCGAAAGCGUGGGGAGCGAACAGG